RNAcentral lists this ribosomal RNA (2893 nucleotides) under Escherichia coli. Its description in RNAcentral is "bacterial LSU rRNA". It matches the Rfam family "Bacterial large subunit ribosomal RNA". The record is from RNAcentral. Lineage: Bacteria; Pseudomonadati; Pseudomonadota; Gammaproteobacteria; Enterobacterales; Enterobacteriaceae.
ACUAAGCGUACACGGUGGAUGCCCUGGCAGUCAGAGGCGAUGAAGGACGUGCUAAUCUGCGAUAAGCGUCGGUAAGGUGAUAUGAACCGUUAUAACCGGCGAUUUCCGAAUGGGGAAACCCAGUGUGAUUCGUCACACUAUCAUUAACUGAAUCCAUAGGUUAAUGAGGCGAACCGGGGGAACUGAAACAUCUAAGUACCCCGAGGAAAAGAAAUCAACCGAGAUUCCCCCAGUAGCGGCGAGCGAACGGGGAGCAGCCCAGAGCCUGAAUCAGUGUGUGUGUUAGUGGAAGCGUCUGGAAAGGCGCGCGAUACAGGGUGACAGCCCCGUACACAAAAAUGCACAUGCUGUGAGCUCGAUGAGUAGGGCGGGACACGUGGUAUCCUGUCUGAAUAUGGGGGGACCAUCCUCCAAGGCUAAAUACUCCUGACUGACCGAUAGUGAACCAGUACCGUGAGGGAAAGGCGAAAAGAACCCCGGCGAGGGGAGUGAAAAAGAACCUGAAACCGUGUACGUACAAGCAGUGGGAGCACGCUUAGGCGUGUGACUGCGUACCUUUUGUAUAAUGGGUCAGCGACUUAUAUUCUGUAGCAAGGUUAACCGAAUAGGGGAGCCGAAGGGAAACCGAGUCUUAACUGGGCGUUAAGUUGCAGGGUAUAGACCCGAAACCCGGUGAUCUAGCCAUGGGCAGGUUGAAGGUUGGGUAACACUAACUGGAGGACCGAACCGACUAAUGUUGAAAAAUUAGCGGAUGACUUGUGGCUGGGGGUGAAAGGCCAAUCAAACCGGGAGAUAGCUGGUUCUCCCCGAAAGCUAUUUAGGUAGCGCCUCGUGAAUUCAUCUCCGGGGGUAGAGCACUGUUUCGGCAAGGGGGUCAUCCCGACUUACCAACCCGAUGCAAACUACGAAUACCGGAGAAUGUUAUCACGGGAGACACACGGCGGGUGCUAACGUCCGUCGUGAAGAGGGAAACAACCCAGACCGCCAGCUAAGGUCCCAAAGUCAUGGUUAAGUGGGAAACGAUGUGGGAAGGCCCAGACAGCCAGGAUGUUGGCUUAGAAGCAGCCAUCAUUUAAAGAAAGCGUAAUAGCUCACUGGUCGAGUCGGCCUGCGCGGAAGAUGUAACGGGGCUAAACCAUGCACCGAAGCUGCGGCAGCGACGCUGAUGCGUUGUUGGGUAGGGGAGCGUUCUGUAAGCCUGCGAAGGUGUGCUGUGAGGCAUGCUGGAGGUAUCAGAAGUGCGAAUGCUGACAUAAGUAACGAUAAAGCGGGUGAAAAGCCCGCUCGCCGGAAGACCAAGGGUUCCUGUCCAACGUUAAUCGGGGCAGGGUGAGUCGACCCCUAAGGCGAGGCCGAAAGGCGUAGUCGAUGGGAAACAGGUUAAUAUUCCUGUACUUGGUGUUACUGCGAAGGGGGGACGGAGAAGGCUAUGUUGGCCGGGCGACGGUUGUCCCGGUUUAAGCGUGUAGGCUGGUUUUCCAGGCAAAUCCGGAAAAUCAAGGCUGAGGCGUGAUGACGAGGCACUACGGUGCUGAAGCAACAAAUGCCCUGCUUCCAGGAAAAGCCUCUAAGCAUCAGGUAACAUCAAAUCGUACCCCAAACCGACACAGGUGGUCAGGUAGAGAAUACCAAGGCGCUUGAGAGAACUCGGGUGAAGGAACUAGGCAAAAUGGUGCCGUAACUUCGGGAGAAGGCACGCUGAUAUGUAGGUGAAGUCCCUCGCGGAUGGAGCUGAAAUCAGUCGAAGAUACCAGCUGGCUGCAACUGUUUAUUAAAAACACAGCACUGUGCAAACACGAAAGUGGACGUAUACGGUGUGACGCCUGCCCGGUGCCGGAAGGUUAAUUGAUGGGGUUAGCGCAAGCGAAGCUCUUGAUCGAAGCCCCGGUAAACGGCGGCCGUAACUAUAACGGUCCUAAGGUAGCGAAAUUCCUUGUCGGGUAAGUUCCGACCUGCACGAAUGGCGUAAUGAUGGCCAGGCUGUCUCCACCCGAGACUCAGUGAAAUUGAACUCGCUGUGAAGAUGCAGUGUACCCGCGGCAAGACGGAAAGACCCCGUGAACCUUUACUAUAGCUUGACACUGAACAUUGAGCCUUGAUGUGUAGGAUAGGUGGGAGGCUUUGAAGUGUGGACGCCAGUCUGCAUGGAGCCGACCUUGAAAUACCACCCUUUAAUGUUUGAUGUUCUAACGUGGACCCGUAAUCCGGGUUGCGGACAGUGUCUGGUGGGUAGUUUGACUGGGGCGGUCUCCUCCUAAAGAGUAACGGAGGAGCACGAAGGUUGGCUAAUCCUGGUCGGACAUCAGGAGGUUAGUGCAAUGGCAUAAGCCAGCUUGACUGCGAGCGUGACGGCGCGAGCAGGUGCGAAAGCAGGUCAUAGUGAUCCGGUGGUUCUGAAUGGAAGGGCCAUCGCUCAACGGAUAAAAGGUACUCCGGGGAUAACAGGCUGAUACCGCCCAAGAGUUCAUAUCGACGGCGGUGUUUGGCACCUCGAUGUCGGCUCAUCACAUCCUGGGGCUGAAGUAGGUCCCAAGGGUAUGGCUGUUCGCCAUUUAAAGUGGUACGCGAGCUGGGUUUAGAACGUCGUGAGACAGUUCGGUCCCUAUCUGCCGUGGGCGCUGGAGAAUUGAGGGGGGCUGCUCCUAGUACGAGAGGACCGGAGUGGACGCAUCACUGGUGUUCGGGUUGUCAUGCCAAUGGCACUGCCCGGUAGCUAAAUGCGGAAGAGAUAAGUGCUGAAAGCAUCUAAGCACGAAACUUGCCCCGAGAUGAGUUCUCCCUGACUCCUUGAGAGUCCUGAAGGAACGUUGAAGACGACGACGUUGAUAGGCCGGGUGUGUAAGCGCAGCGAUGCGUUGAGCUAACCGGUACUAAUGAACCGUGAGGCUUAACC